CCUACGGGUGGCAGCAGUGAGGAAUAUUGGUCAAUGGACGAGAGUCUGAACCAGCCAAGUAGCGUGAAGGAUGACUGCCCUAUGGGUUGUAAACUUCUCUUAUAUGGGAAUAAAAUGUUCCACGUGUGGGAUUUUGUAUGUACCAUAUGAAUAAGGAUCGGCUAACUCCGUGCCAGCAGCCGCGGUAAUACGGAGAAUCCGAGCGUUAUCCGGAUUUAUUGGGUUUAAAGGGAGCGUAGGUGGAUUGUUAAGUCAGUUGUGAAAGUUUGCGGCUCAACCGUAAAAUUGCAGUUGAAACUGGCAGUCUUGAGUACAGUAGAGGUGGGCGGAAUUCGUGGUGUAGCGGUGAAAUGCUUAGAUAUCACGAAGAACUCCGAUUGCGAAGGCAGUUCACUGGACUGCAACUGACACUGAGGCUCGAAAGUGUGGGUAUCAAACAGGAUUAGAUACCCCUGUAGUC
This 460-nucleotide ribosomal RNA is filed under the name uncultured bacterium. Its description in RNAcentral is "partial 16S ribosomal RNA". It matches the Rfam family "Bacterial small subunit ribosomal RNA", at positions 338 to 795 of the family's 1533-position model. The record is from RNAcentral.